Molecule: ribosomal RNA, 1033 nt
Filed under: Araneus quadratus
Lineage: Eukaryota; Metazoa; Arthropoda; Arachnida; Araneae; Araneidae
Description: large subunit ribosomal RNA
Rfam family: Archaeal large subunit ribosomal RNA (bases 689-985)
Source: RNAcentral
UAUAAAAUAUUAAUAUUAAAAAUAUUUAUUAAAUAAAUUUUUUUAAAUAAUUUUAUUUUUACUGUAAAGAACUAAAAUAAUUAUAUUUAAGAAAUUCUAUUUUCCUUUGGUAUCAGGAGUAUUCUAAUAUUAUAAAAUAUUUUUUAUUCCUGAAAAAAGGUCAUCUAUAAAUUUAUUUAUAUAUUAUAACAAAAAUAUUUUAAAUAAAUUUAUUGAAAUUAAACUUUAUACGAACCUUUUGAUAUCCGGUUUCUUUUGAUUUUUAUAAAAAUAAAAUUUUUAAAAAGUAACUUUUUAAAUAAAUUUUUAAAAUAUUAAUAAUUUAUAAGGAGUAAAAGUUUCCAAUAAGUUUCAAAACCAUAAAAUCUUUUAAUAAAAAUUUUACUAAAAAGAUUUCUUUUUUUAUAAAAAAUUAUGAAUACAUUAGUAGAAUAAAAUAAUAAUUAUUUUAUAAACUAGGCAAUAAAUUGAAUGACUGUUUACCAAAAACAUUUCUUACUGAAAUUUAUCGUAAGUAACACCUGCUCAAUGAAUUUUAAAUAGCCGCGGAAAUUUAACCGUGCUAAGGUAGCAUAAUCAUUAGUCCCUUAAUUAGGGACUCGUAUGAAUGGUGAAACAAUUCAAUUACUUUAUUAAUUAAUAUUUAUCAAAUUUAAAUUAAGAAUAAAAAUGUUCUUAUUAAAAAAUUAGACGACAAGACCCUUUUGAACUUUACUUAUGUUUAGCUGGGGCAGCUAAAAAAUUAUAAUCUUUUCUUUUUUAUUUUUUAAUAAAUGAUCCUUUAAAAUUGAACAUAUGAACAAGUUACCAUAGGGAUAACAGCGCAAUAUUUUUUUAAAGCUCUUAUAAAAAAAAAUGAUUACGACCUCGAUGUUGAAUUAGUGUAACUUUACAGAUGCAAUAAUUUUAAAAGUAGGUCUGUUCGACCAUUAAAACACUACAUGAUUUGAGUUCAAAUCGGUGAAAACCAGAUUGGUUUCUAUCUUUUAUAAUUUUUAUUCAGUACGAAAGGACCAAUAAAUUUAUUAUUAAU